UACGAAGGGGGCUAGCGUUGUUCGGAAUUACUGGGCGUAAAGCGCACGUAGGCGGAUUGUUAAGUUAGAGGUGAAAGCCUGGAGCUCAACUCCAGAACUGCCUUUAAAACUGCAUCGCUUGAAUCCAGGAGAGGUGAGUGGAAUUCCGAGUGUAGAGGUGAAAUUCGUAGAUAUUCGGAAGAACACCAGUGGCGAAGGCGGCUCACUGGACUGGUAUUGACGCUGAGGUACGAAAGCGUGGGGAGCAAACAGG
RNAcentral lists this ribosomal RNA (253 nucleotides) under uncultured bacterium. RNAcentral's name for it is "partial 16S ribosomal RNA". It matches the Rfam family "Bacterial small subunit ribosomal RNA", at positions 524 to 776 of the family's 1533-position model. The record is from RNAcentral.